This 265-nucleotide ribosomal RNA is filed under the name uncultured Oscillibacter sp. RNAcentral describes it as "partial 16S ribosomal RNA". It matches the Rfam family "Bacterial small subunit ribosomal RNA", at positions 58 to 339 of the family's 1533-position model. The record is from RNAcentral. Lineage: Bacteria; Bacillati; Bacillota; Clostridia; Eubacteriales; Oscillospiraceae.
UCAAGUUGAACGGAUGACUUAGUGGCGGACGGGUGAGUAACGCGUGAGGAACCUGCCUUUCAGUGGGGGACAACAGUUGGAAACGACUGCUAAUACCGCAUGACACAUCGAAGCGGCAUCGCUUUGAUGUCAAAGAUUUAUCGCUGAAAGAUGGCCUCGCGUCUGAUUAGAUAGUUGGCGGGGUAACGGCCCACCAAGUCGACGAUCAGUAGCCGGACUGAGAGGUUGAACGGCCACAUUGGGACUGAGACACGGCCCAGACUCC